RNAcentral lists this non-coding RNA (112 nucleotides) under bovine gut metagenome. RNAcentral's name for it is "THF riboswitch". It matches the Rfam family "THF (Tetrahydrofolate) riboswitch aptamer". From Rfam's summary of the family: THF riboswitch presents a pseudoknot that joins P1-P2 and the loop of P3 and two THF binding. The record is from RNAcentral.
GCAGAGUAGGCGGUGGAGCGUCAAGUGCCCGGUGGACAGGGAGUUGUCAUCGGGACGAAAAGGAAAAGCAGAUUCUGCUAUUCCUUGCGGUUCCGCUGCCGCAUCCCGCUGC